GGGGAAUUUUGGACAAUGGGCGAAAGCCUGAUCCAGCAAUGCCGCGUGUGUGAAGAAGGCCUUCGGGUUGUAAAGCACUUUUGUCCGGAAAGAAAUCCUCUGGGUUAAUACCUCGGGGGGAUGACGGUACCGGAAGAAUAAGCACCGGCUAACUACGUGCCAGCAGCCGCGGUAAUACGUAGGGUGCAAGCGUUAAUCGGAAUUACUGGGCGUAAAGCGUGCGCAGGCGGUUUUGUAAGACGGAUGUGAAAUCCCCGGGCUCAACCUGGGAACUGCAUUCGUGACUGCAAGGCUAGAGUAUGGCAGAGGGGGGUAGAAUGCCACGUGUAGCAGUGAAAUGCGUAGAGAUGUGGAGGAAUACCGAUGGCGAAGGCAGCCCCCUGGGCCAAUACUGACGCUCAUGCACGAAAGCGUGGGGAGCAAACA
This 426-nucleotide ribosomal RNA is filed under the name uncultured bacterium. RNAcentral's name for it is "bacterial SSU rRNA". It matches the Rfam family "Bacterial small subunit ribosomal RNA", at positions 356 to 774 of the family's 1533-position model. The record is from RNAcentral.